This is a non-coding RNA of Dermatophagoides pteronyssinus (European house dust mite), 73 nucleotides long. The record is from the annotation of a RefSeq genome assembly. NCBI's taxonomy places the organism in Eukaryota, Metazoa, Arthropoda, Arachnida, Sarcoptiformes, Pyroglyphidae.
GCAACCGUGGCGCAGUCGGUAGCGCGUUGGUCUCAUAAUCCAGAAGUCGGGAGUUCGAGCCUCCCCGGUUGCA